This 81-nucleotide small RNA is filed under the name Flavobacterium noncentrifugens. RNAcentral describes it as "Flavo-1 RNA". It matches the Rfam family "Flavo-1 RNA". The record is from Rfam by way of RNAcentral. Lineage: Bacteria; Pseudomonadati; Bacteroidota; Flavobacteriia; Flavobacteriales; Flavobacteriaceae.
CCCUAGCCCGGAUGGAAGCGGCAUCCUUUUGCGGCGAGCGCAGCAGAGCCUUAAAAGAUAUAGCGGACAGCCGGAUUGGCU